Molecule: long non-coding RNA, 2630 nt
Organism: Tachysurus vachellii
Lineage: Eukaryota; Metazoa; Chordata; Actinopteri; Siluriformes; Bagridae
Exons: 3
Source: RefSeq, a predicted model, not a curated record
GCCAGCCAGCUCCAUCUCCCUGUCUCUGAGUGGCCUGGCCUAAAUGUGGAGGAGCUAUAUUCAGACGGCUGUGAGUGUGGGCGUUCAGUGAGAGAACGGCUCAGGCAGCGAAGUUGCCUACACACUCCUUCAUUCUGACUCACUCUUCACAGUGGUACAUGAGGACAAAAGUCAGGACCAGACGAGCUGAAAGACCAGACUGAGUAAAACAAAGUGUGAGCCGGCGUCACUUCCUCUAUCCCUGAAGCCAGCUGCCUUUGCACACUACGAUUUUAAUCAAGCUCUCAGUGGCAUGAAACAGAUCUUGUACGAAGAGGCCGUUGAUUUAGUUACAGGAAGAAAAGGAGCCACUGUGAAAUCCACUCACAGCGUACUCAUCAAAGAUGAUAUUCAUCUGGCUUGCUGAGUCAUGUAACAGACAACAAUCCACCAGUCAGGAUUGAUAAUGGAUUAUUCUCUCCCUGCGUUUAUUUGACAGGAACCAAUAAUCUUUGGGUGUCUUGGCUUGAUUAGCUCUGUUUGCAGUCAAUACACUGGAGGAAGUAGAGAUUAUAAUGUGAGGGAGGGGCCAAGAAUUUUUAAUUCUAUGUGUGUUUUGCAGUCAGGUGUCCAUAAUUAAUGUCAAAAACAAUCAAGAAGAUCUUCCUCGAUGAUAGAAGAAAAACCUGAUUGUAAAGGUUGGUCUAAAAAAACAGUUUAUAUCCAAGUCCUAAAUUCACAAAAAUGUACUGAAUCCACCUGUUAAUCAAAGGAAAAUGGAAGUCAGACUGGAAGUGCUACAUAGAGGAGUUAUGGUAAGGAGGUGAGUUAAGAUGGAGGGCAUUAUUCAGAGAAGUAACCAACAGGCUAUAGGGUUAAUUCAAAAAGAACUGGAGAGAUUCACAGCUGAAUCAUGUAUACUCCAUGAACACUGGGAGUGGUGAACCAUGUGAAAUCCUGGUUGGAGUUUGCCAAGAAACAUGUUGCAGACUCUUCUCUGAUUCUGAAACAGCACAUUUGGUGAAAACCUAAAACGGCUUAUCAGUUCUGCCACUGCUGUAGCUAAACCACCGAAGGAAAAUAAUCACUUACAAAGUUGGCGUGAUUCAGCCCAAAGUGAAGUUACUGUUAACACCCUUAUUUUCCUAUAAAAACGUGUACAAUAUUGUUAUUCUUACAUUUAAUGUAGAAUGUCUGAGCCAGGUACUUUCUGAACCAUCAGAUACAGUUGAAGAUAAGACAAGCUUUUGAUAGCACUGUGGUAUAAAUAAUGUUAGUUAAGGAAACCUAUAUGUAAAGCAUUGCACAAAAACCUGUUUCACAACAUGCUAAAACACAACAUGGUUUAAAAAAAGCACAAAACAGGAAACUUGACAAAGGCCCCUGGAUGUUGAGCUCAGUCUGUGUCACAUCAGCAGCCUCGCUGAACUUCCUCCGUUUCUAUGGUUCACUUAACCUCCCCAUGGACACAGAGCACGAUGCUGACAGCUCUGAGGGUCAUUUCGAAGGACGGAGUGCAUCAGGACAGCCUUGAAACCUGCAGAGCAUACGCAGCACAUUGCUUUAUUACUACAUGUUAUUGAUUGGAACAGAUAACAGUAUGAUAAGAGUAUGUUAGUUAGUUUUGUUAUAUCAGAUUCUUCACAGCACAAGUCAGUAGGAAGAUGUGAUUCCAAGAGUGUGUUCAUUUCAUCAAAAAAUUUAACCAGGUAUCAACUAGUAUUAGCUUCAUUUCCAAAAAUACAAUUCACAAGACAUACAGCAAGCAUCUUCAAAAAGUAUGAUCUUCCUCUCUAUGUCUUCAAAAAACAUAGAUAAUUUUUUUUUUUGCUUUCAUAUUUGCUUUAGUAUUUUAUGUUUCAUGUGCAUUGGUUUUGGUCAAAUUAAUUUUGUGUUAAAUAUUAAUGUUUAUGCUAUUUCCUGAGCUACAAUUCUUUGCCCAAUUAACGAUGACUUAACUACUGUACUUGUUUCAUGGUUCUCUAAAAUUUUCUGAAUCUUUUUUCUAUACUGCUUUUUAGUUUGUGUUUCAGCUUUUUUUCCUUUGUACACGGUAUUAUUUAACGUACCACAUACUAUAUUAAUAAGUUUAUUAUAAUUUGUUAUUGUAACAAACAAUCAUAAAAAUAAAAUAUGCAUUAAAAGGAAAUUUUUGGCCAUACAACAAACACACCUUUUAUAAAGCCAGGAUGCCUGUAUACUUACGUCGUCCCUCAUCCUGAUCAGCUUGAACUAAACCUCUCUGUGUCUCGCUUCCUUGAAGCCCCCCUUGACAGCUGUGUCAACAAGCAUAAGGGUCUUGGCCUUAAACAAACCUUCAGGAGAGCCAUUGUACAUGCUCUCCCUAAUAUACUGCCAUAAUGUUUGCACAGACUCUACUCUAAUGACAGCUGCUAAAUCUGAAACCCACACACUUCAUGAACAAGGAGCCUCGCAGGCACACUCUUCAAUUUGUCGUCAUGUUUCUUAACUAGCUCUGUCUUGUUUAAUAUAUGUGGAACACUUUAUUGGUUUUAAUGAGCCUGGGGUCAAAGUCAUUUCUUGGCUUAAGCUGAACAGUACUUGCUGAACUUUUGAGCCUCAUGUAAAUUAGAUUUCAGUUAAAGAGUUAAGAUAGAACUCUCCAUGAGUUAAAUGACAGUAUUCUUUUA